RNAcentral lists this microRNA (19 nucleotides) under Schistosoma mansoni. Its description in RNAcentral is "sma-miR-8412-5p". The record is from miRBase by way of RNAcentral. Lineage: Eukaryota; Metazoa; Platyhelminthes; Trematoda; Strigeidida; Schistosomatidae.
CAGUGAUAUUGUCUAUCUU